AACGAACGCUGGCGGCAGGCUUAAUACAUGCAAGUCGAACGGGCGCAGCAAUGCGUCAGUGGCAGACGGGUGAGUAACACGUGGGAACCUUCCUCGUUGUACGGAACAACUCAGGGAAACUUGAGCUAAUACCGUAUAAGUCCGAGAGGAGAAAGAUUUAUCGCAAUGAGACGGGCCCGCGUCGGAUUAGGUAGUUGGUGAGGUAACGGCUCACCAAGCCAACGAUCCGUAGCUGAUCUGAGAGGAUGAUCAGCCACACUGGGACUGAGACACGGCCCAGACUCCUACGGGAGGCAGCAGUAGGGAAUCUUGGACAAUGGGCGCAAGCCUGAUCCAGCCAUGCCGCGUGAGUGAAGAAGGCCUUCGGUU
RNAcentral lists this ribosomal RNA (369 nucleotides) under uncultured bacterium. RNAcentral describes it as "bacterial SSU rRNA". It matches the Rfam family "Bacterial small subunit ribosomal RNA", at positions 29 to 423 of the family's 1533-position model. The record is from RNAcentral.